UACGUAGGGGGCAAGCGUUGUCCGGAAUCAUUGGGCGUAAAGAGCGUGUAGGCGGCCCGGUAAGUCCGCUGUAAAAGUCAAAGGCUCAACCUUUGAAUGUCAGUGGAUACUGCCGGGCUAGAGUCCGGAAGAGGCGAGUGGAACUCCUGGUGUAGCGGUGGAAUGCGCAGAUAUCAGGAAGAACACCAACGGCGAAGGCAGCUCGCUGGGACGGUACUGACGCUGAGACGCGAAAGCAUGGGGAGCGAACAGG
RNAcentral lists this ribosomal RNA (253 nucleotides) under uncultured bacterium. RNAcentral describes it as "partial 16S ribosomal RNA". It matches the Rfam family "Bacterial small subunit ribosomal RNA", at positions 524 to 776 of the family's 1533-position model. The record is from RNAcentral.